Molecule: long non-coding RNA, 1628 nt
Organism: Sebastes umbrosus (honeycomb rockfish)
Lineage: Eukaryota; Metazoa; Chordata; Actinopteri; Perciformes; Sebastidae
Exons: 3
Source: RefSeq, a predicted model, not a curated record
GAAACACUUGUUGUACAGAGAUCAGCUGUUACAGAGAUGUUGGGAGGAAAAGCUUGGAUCCCAGGUUGCACCCUGCUUAUGCUGGUCACAUUAUGUGGUGAAACUGCUCACUGCCAAAACCAACACAAAGAGAAAAUGGUGAAGUCCAACGGAGGAAGUCACUACACCAAUGAGAUGUACCAGAGAGCCCAGGAGAAAUUUGAGGAAGAGAGGAUCAGAGAGGAGGAGGAGGAAGAGCGAAGAAAGAGGGGAGAGGAAGAGAAGAUCGGAGAGGAGGAGAAAAACAGUGCUUUGUAUAAAGUGAUAGAUUGGUGGAAAGGGAAAGCCAUGUAUCCUCUGCAUCCUCUGCUUCCUCUGCUUCCUCUGCUUCCUGUGCUUCCUGUGCUUCCUUUGCUUCCUGUGCUUCCUUUGCUUCCUGUGCUUCCUUAUGUGCUUCCUUUGCUUCCUCUGCUUCUUCACAGGCCAUUGGACUUGACCCACACAGAGAUUGAUGCGUGCUUCUCUGGGAAACAUCUUAUCUCGUCUUGCAUCUACUGCAAAAAGAAAAACAGAUUCUUUUGUCCAGGAAGAUCUGGUCACUGACAGAUGUUUUAGUUGGAAAGAAGAAACAAGUUGUUUUCUUAAGGCAACGUAAACUCUGCUAUCGACCAUCGAGUGUUGAUUUUGACAUUAUCCAGGGAUGAAUAAAUUAUAAAAUUUGAUGACUCUGGGAGAAUUCUCUCCACGUUUAAAUCAACAAGAACUGUCAACCUUUUCUGACUUCUAAGGAACACUGGUAACCCUUUCCCAUUUACCAAAUUAACCCCCUCCUCAACUAUGAAUCUGCGAUGGAGCAACAUAGACACCUAGUUUUCAUCUGUGGUAAUGUGCACAUUGUAUUUUGACCAAUAAUGAAUUUGUUUAAAAGUCAUCAUGUGUUAGACGAAGUAUUGACUUCUUUGUUGUAUAAUCAUUAAUGUUAUUGUAAUACGUUUUUUAAUGUUUUAUCAGUGAUGACCAAUAGAUGUAAUAUCUUAAGUUUAAAGUUGUUGAGAAUGAGUAAUAACUUGACUUAGAAUUCCAUUUUUAUACUAAUGUUGAUCAGAAUAUCAGUGAUUAUAUAGCUUUUUGAUAUGUGUCUAUUUCGUGCAAAGUAAGGAACUCUAAAAUUAGUGAGGAGGGAAUUUUGUUUUUUGCACGUGUAAGAUUUAUUCAGUAAUAAAAAUUGAGUUGCUGAAUGAGAGGGCUUCGACCCCCUCCCUCCUCUACCUCCGUGAGGGGGGGUUAAAGAAAAGAUGACACAGAGUCACACAGAUCGAUUCAGCAGUUCGCUUGGAAAGUUUGCUCCAAAAGGAAUGGAUGUUAAUUUAAUUUUUUUCUAAAUCUCUUAAUCUUCCAAAUUAAUAAUUGCAACUUUUAUAGCUUCUAGAGAGAAUAGAGAUCACUUGCACUCACUCAAGGUUAUAAUUGCACGAUGUAUAUGUUUACUUGAUGUUUAUGUUUACAUGAGUCCUGAAUCUUAAACUGAAAUAUCAGUUUGCAUGCUUUGUUUGUUGUUGGGAAUUGGGAACAUGCUACAUACAUCUGUUUCUCUGUAUGUCAUUAUGUGGGCUAUAAACAUUUUUCAAUAAAGUCUGAAGUACAGCUCA